This 433-nucleotide ribosomal RNA is filed under the name uncultured bacterium. RNAcentral's name for it is "partial 16S ribosomal RNA". It matches the Rfam family "Bacterial small subunit ribosomal RNA", at positions 29 to 507 of the family's 1533-position model. The record is from RNAcentral.
AACGAACGCUGGCGGCAUGCCUAACACAUGCAAGUCGAACGAGACCUUCGGGUCUAGUGGCGCACGGGUGCGUAACGCGUGGGAACCUGCCCUUAGGUUCGGAAUAACUCCCCGAAAGGGGUGCUAAUACCGGAUAAUGUCUUCGGACCAAAGAUUUAUCGCCUUUGGAUGGGCCCGCGUUGGAUUAGCUAGUUGGUAGGGUAAAAGCCUACCAAGGCGACGAUCCAUAGCUGGUCUGAGAGGAUGAUCAGCCACACUGGGACUGAGACACGGCCCAGACUCCCACGGGAGGCAGGAGUGGGGAAUAUUGGAACAUGGGGGAAAGGCUGAUACCGCCAUGGCGCGGGAGUGAUGAAGGGCUUAGGGUUGUAAAGCCCCUUUAACCGGGAAGAUAAUGACCGUACCGGGAGAAUAAGCCCCGGCCAACUUCGUG